GCCAGUUGCCCUGGUGGCACCUGUUGUCCCAGCUUCCCAGGAGGCUGAGGCGGGAGGAUCUCUUGAGCCCAGGAGUUCCUGGCUGUAGUGUAGUGUGCGACGUUAAUCAGGUGUCUGCACUAAGUUUGGCAUCAGUAUGGUGACCUCUUGGGAGCUUGAAGAGGAGCCAGCUGGCCCAGGUCAGAAAUGGAGCAGGUCAAAACUCCUGUGCUGAUCUGUAUAGCAUCGUGCCAGUGAAUAGCCACGGCACUCCAGCCUGGGCAACAUAGCAAGACCCUGUCUCU
Molecule: signal recognition particle RNA, 284 nt
Filed under: Mandrillus leucophaeus (drill)
Lineage: Eukaryota; Metazoa; Chordata; Mammalia; Primates; Cercopithecidae
Description: Metazoan signal recognition particle RNA (ENSMLEG00000001157.1)
Rfam family: Metazoan signal recognition particle RNA
About the family: The signal recognition particle (SRP) is a universally conserved ribonucleoprotein. It is involved in the co-translational targeting of proteins to membranes.
Source: RNAcentral